UGAGUAAUGUCUGGGAAACUGCCUGAUGGAGGGGGAUAACUACUGGAAACGGUAGCUAAUACCGCAUAACGUCGCAAGACCAAAGAGGGGGACCUUCGGGCCUCUUGCCAUCAGAUGUGCCCAGAUGGGAUUAGCUAGUAGGUGGGGUAAUGGCUCACCUAGGCGACGAUCCCUAGCUGGUCUGAGAGGAUGACCAGCCACACUGGAACUGAGACACGGUCCAGACUCCUACGGGAGGCAGCAGUGGGGAAUAUUGCACAAUGGGCGCAAGCCUGAUGCAGCCAUGCCACGUGUGUGAAGAAGGCCUUCGGGUUGUAAAGCACUUUCAGCGAGGAGGAAGGUGGUGAACUUAAUACGUUCAUCAAUUGACGUUACUCGCAGAAGAAGCACCGGCUAACUCCGUGCCAGCAGCCGCGGUAACACGGAGGGUGCAAGCGUUAAUCGGAAUUACUGGGCGUAAAGCGCACGCAGGCGGUUUGUUAAGUCAGAUGUGAAAUCCCCGGG
RNAcentral lists this ribosomal RNA (504 nucleotides) under uncultured bacterium. RNAcentral describes it as "bacterial SSU rRNA". It matches the Rfam family "Bacterial small subunit ribosomal RNA", at positions 107 to 607 of the family's 1533-position model. The record is from RNAcentral.